AAUCCAUGGUGAGGGCACCUUCUCAAUAGAUCUUUGUAUCUCUCCCAUGCAUCAUAAAGUGUUUCUAAAUCCAUCUGCACAAAAGAAGAGAUAUCAUUCCUUAAUUU
Gossypium arboreum is the source of this 107-nucleotide non-coding RNA. The record is from Rfam. Lineage: Eukaryota; Viridiplantae; Streptophyta; Magnoliopsida; Malvales; Malvaceae.